RNAcentral lists this ribosomal RNA (416 nucleotides) under Escherichia coli BCE032_MS-12. RNAcentral's name for it is "partial 16S ribosomal RNA". The stretch from base 109 to 416 matches the Rfam family "Bacterial large subunit ribosomal RNA", at positions 1 to 313 of the family's 2925-position model. The record is from RNAcentral. Lineage: Bacteria; Pseudomonadati; Pseudomonadota; Gammaproteobacteria; Enterobacterales; Enterobacteriaceae.
UCUUUAAAAAUCUGGAUCAAGCUGAAAAUUGAAACACUGAACAACGAAAGUUGUUCGUGAGUCUCUCAAAUUUUCGCAACUCUGAAGUGAAACAUCUUCGGGUUGUGAGGUUAAGCGACUAAGCGUACACGGUGGAUGCCCUGGCAGUCAGAGGCGAUGAAGGACGUGCUAAUCUGCGAUAAGCGUCGGUAAGGUGAUAUGAACCGUUAUAACCGGCGAUUUCCGAAUGGGGAAACCCAGUGUGUUUCGACACACUAUCAUUAACUGAAUCCAUAGGUUAAUGAGGCGAACCGGGGGAACUGAAACAUCUAAGUACCCCGAGGAAAAGAAAUCAACCGAGAUUCCCCCAGUAGCGGCGAGCGAACGGGGAGCAGCCCAGAGCCUGAAUCAGUGUGUGUGUUAGUGGAAGCGUCUGG